Molecule: ribosomal RNA, 200 nt
Filed under: uncultured bacterium
Lineage: Bacteria
Description: partial 16S ribosomal RNA
Rfam family: Bacterial small subunit ribosomal RNA
Source: RNAcentral
AGAGUUUGAUCCUGGCUCAGAACGAACGCUGGCGGCGUGGAUAAGACAUGCAAGUCGAGCGCUGAUUACAGGGUAGCAAUAUUCUGUAGUUGGAGCGGCGCAAGGGUGCGUAACACGUGGGUAAUCUGCCAUGAAGUUUGGGAUAACUCGCUGAAAGGCGAGCUAAUACCGGAUGUGACGAUUGGAAGGCAUCUUCUGAU